RNAcentral lists this long non-coding RNA (10641 nucleotides) under Homo sapiens (human). RNAcentral's name for it is "non-protein coding lnc-MYOM1-10:2". Lineage: Eukaryota; Metazoa; Chordata; Mammalia; Primates; Hominidae. The record is from RNAcentral.
GUGUUAAGCUACCAGAGCAAGUGAAGGAGCAAAGCCAGGUGGCGGCUGGAUCAGGCAGGUUCACGCUGUGGCUCCCCACAUGCGGGGUAAGCAGUGGCCCCUGUGGGGGUCAGAGAGCAUUUUUCUGGCCGCAGGGGUAAUGUUGCAGGGAGGGGUGCAGCUGCCUCUGCUGCACAGAAGUCUCUCUACAGGGGUUGGGGAGUAGCAGGCGGCAGUAAGCCCCACCAGCGCCCAUGCACUUGGCAAGGCCGGUCCCUCACCCGCAGGGUUCCGCUUGCAGCAGCUCGUUAGAAUCCAGGCAGUCCGCAUUCAGAACUCAAGACUGCCCCAUGCCAUAAGCCUUCCUGAAGGAGAGAACAACCAAUGCUUUCAAGCCACGCCCCUCCCAGUCUGCCCGUGAAGCAGGGGCGCCCAGCUCCUGCACCCGUGGCUGCAGCACAUUUCCCAGUCACUCCUUGGUUCUGCCCAAGGGGGUUUGUCCCCAUUCGGCAUUAUAUUGUGAACCCAGUUGGGAACUUCUGCCAACCUGUGACUGCUGUCUGAGUUAGCUGGCAGAUUUCUGCACAGUCCUCUGUGAGGUAGGGUCGGGAAUGUCUUCCCUCCAUCCUCACUGGAGCCUGGGAGUGCAUGCAAAGCCCGUCCCAAUGAUGCUUUUUCUCAUACAUUCCCCACUGCUCACUAAAAUCAGCUCCAUUGCUGGAUAGGGUUAAGUUCUUCCCUCAUGGGCCUCUAUUGCCAGAUUCCCAAGUGGGAGUGUAUGUUCCAGAGGCAAUUUAUUCCUCUUUCACUCUGGGGAACUUAGUUUUCCACUGGCUUAUGGUGUAGGCUGCAGCCCAGUGCUUCUUUCAAAGGGUCAGUGGCUUCUUUCAGUUCUCCUGUUAAGUUCCUGUGUUGCUUCUAGGAGAAAAGUUCACAGUGUGUGAGUCUCUACACACUAUCUUGUCUUUCCAAGUGGAAGAGGCAUGCUAACACUGCCUCCAAUCUGCCAUCUUGGGAGCAACAGAGUGAGAACUUGUCUCUUAAAAAAAAGGUGGGGAGGCCGGGCGCGGUGGCUCACGCCUGUAAUCCCAGCAUUUGGGAGGCCAAGGCAGGCAGAUUAUGAGGUCAGGAGUUCGAGGCCAGCCUGGCCAACAUGGUGAAACCCCAUCUCUACUAAAGAUAUAAAAAAUUAGCCGGGCGUGGUGACGCCCGCCUGUGAUCCCAGCUACUCAGGAGGCUGAGGCAGGAGAAUCGCUUGAACCUGGGAGGUGGAGGUUGCAGUGAGCAGAGAUAGCGCCAUUGCACUCCAGCCUGGGUGACAGGGUGAGACUCUGUCUCAAAAAAAAAAAAAAAAAAAAAAGUGGGAGGGGAAGCGGUCUUUUGUUUUAGAGAUAUCUGCUUUAAUAUGUAUGAACAAAUAUCAGUGAUUUGCUGACAAAAUGAUUUGUCAGUGAUUUACUUCAAAGUAAUCUAGUGAUGCAGGUAAGAGGGCUGAGGGAUAAUGAUGAAAGGAAAAUGGGAGGGGUUAUAGAUGAAACAAGUUUGGCCAUGAGCUGAUUAUUAUUGAAGCUAGGUGAUGCCUACAAGGGGAUCCAUACAUUAUUUUCUCUUUGCAAUACAAUCCUGACCUGGAGUAAGGUCAAAUUUCACAGGUUAAGGGAACAGCCACUCACAGGAUGCCUCUUACCCCAGAUACCAGCUGUUAUAUGUUCCAGGGUUCCUGAGCCACCGGUGCUUCUGACCAACUGACCACAAAUGCAGGGAUUCCCACUAACUCCUCAGGUUUAAUAAUGGACCAGAACAACUCACAGAAUGCAGGCACGCACUAUACUUAGGCUUAGUGUUUCAUUAUAAAAGACACAAACCAGGGACAUCCAAAUGAAAAGGUGCAGGGAGCAAAGUCUGGGAGGGUCCCAAAUUCAAAGCUUCUUUAUGCUCAGGACCUGUCAUCCUCCUGGCACACUGAUGUAUGAUUAUCAACCUGGAAGUUUCCCCUAGCUUUCAUGUCCAGAGUUUUUAUUUGGGUUUUAUUUUGUAGGCAUGAUUGGUUGAAUCAUUGGCAGUGUGAUCGAAUUCAGUCUCCAGCCCCCUGCUCCUUCCUGGGGGUCAGAGGUCAGAAGUCAGGCUGAUAUCCACAUUGCUCAAAGCCCCAACCCUCCAGUCACAUGGAUGGCUUUUGUGGCAUGUCCAGCCCCUAUCCUGAGUGAUAUCAUUAACAUAAAGUCAGGCAUGAUCUGAGGAUAUUAUUUCAUAGAAAUACAGCCUUCCACAAACGUUGGAACUGGUUAAAGAGUCUCUGUAAGACUGUAGUCCUUUCAUCUGGUACUGGAGCUUGAAGUCCAGAGGGCAGAGAGUUGGAAAGCGACAAUGGAUAUAAAGUGAGGAAGAUCAAGAAAAGACUGGAACCCACAGCAUGAACUAGAACCCAGCAGGACAAAUUGAAACUCAUGUCAGUUCAUAUUCCUUCUGGUGUUGAUAGUGGGGACCCAACCUCAUGGAACUAAACACACACACACCAGGCCCAGGAGUCAGGGAAGCUGAGGGAAAACCCAGUGGAAGGUAGAGCAGGCCCAGCUGCCGCUUCAUGCUGAUGAGGUGAGUCAGCAGAUCAGCAACAAUGUGUGUGAGCUACAAAAUGACUGCAGCUUCCCAUCUGCUUUCUGAAUCUCACAAGAAUCUCCCUCAUGGCCCACCAUAACCAGAAACAUACAAGAAACAAAAUUGUGGAAAACGUAGUUCAGCUUAGCCAAGUCAAUACAUUACAAGGCCACCACACCACACUUAAUAAAAAGUAAACAUUUGUAAAUCAAUCAACCAGUGCCUGGAAGUACUUAUUUAAGAGCCAAAUUAUUUCACAAAGUAAACUGAAACACACCUGGUGAAUCCCACCCACCACUGGAUACAUAUUUGCAUUGCCACCCAUUAUUCCUUCCCUCUUCUCCUGUAAGAGAAUACGAUCUCCUACCAAUUCUCCCUCCACCUUUUAUUCUCUCUCAGUAAUCAUGCUUCAUCAAUUAACUUCUGUCUCUGGCUGUUCUUUAUCUUCAGCUUCUUUUUUUUUAAGCUUCCCAUGAUUCUGUAAAUCCCUAUAGCAAAUAACUUUUUUUUCUCUUUUCCAUUACAGCCAAGUGUUGAGUACAAAAAGUCUAUUUAUGCUAUCGUUACUUCUAUAAUGUGAUUUUUCUGUAGUAUUUGAGAAUAUUCAAUUCUUCUGAAAUUAACAAGAGAAACAAACAAGUAGAACAAUAGGUGACACUCAUAAAACAUGUUGAGGAAUGAUAGCAAAUGUACUAAGUUAGAAAUCUUUUAGGUUAAACAUAAAUAGCAUAUACAGAACAUAUGUUUGGUAAGCAUAGAUUAAAAGAAUGGAAAUACCAAGUGUGCUACUUGUAGAUAGGAAAGGAUAGAAGGACCAAGUAAACCUAAAAUAUUAGUAAAAUCACAGAUCAUGUAUCCUCCUGAAUGACAGCUAUGUCAUAUUUAAAUCAGCUGCUGAAUCGUGACAGCUAUUCUUGCCCCAGGUGACCUCUGUCCAAGAUAUGCAGAUAAAUCCACAGCUCCUCAGCACUUCAUUGGUGAAUUUCAGUUGUGCACAGGCUCCUUGUCCUCCAUCUCUUUGAAAGAGGAAGCAUGUGUUGGCUUCAGGCACCUUCAAUUUGCUGAGUCUCCUUGCUCACCCUUGACUCUGGUCACUGCAUCAGACCAUGCCAUCAGUAGGAAAUUCUGAUGUGUCUUUGUAGGUGAGAGAGAUAGGAUAUGAACAUUGUGUGACUCAGGAUUUUUUUUGUAUGGCUCUUACAUCCAACUUGGAUCCUAUCCUUAGUGUGAUAACUUAUCUCAGUUUCCACUUGCUUCUUGCUUUGUGUUUAAAAUUUACACAUAGGCUGGACAUGGUGGCUCAAACUUGUAAUUCUAGCACUUUGGAAGGCUGAGGUGGGAGGACUGCUUGAGCCCAGGAGUUCAAGACCAGCCUGGGCAACAUAGCGAGACCUUGUCUCUAAAACAAAAAUAAAAACAAAAAAUUAGCUGAGCAUGCUAGUGUGUGCCUGUAGUCCUAGCUACUAGGGAGUUUGAGGUGGGAGGAUUGCUUAAGCCCAGGAGGAUGAGGCUGCAAUGAGCCAUGAUGACACCACUGCACUCCAGCCUGGGUGACAGAGCAAGACCCUGUCUCAAAAAAGAAAAGAAAACAUAAAUAAACCUUGUGAUUCCAGCGUCUUUGCAAUUUUCUCUCACCCUGUCUCUUUUAUGAACUCUAGAGCAGCCUGCCUGAUAGUGUACUUGGAGGUAGCAUGAACAACUUGUCCUGAUUUGUAGCUUUUGCACGCAAAUCCAGUAUCCUAGAAACCCCCUCAGUUCUGUGCAAAUGGGGACAAUUGGUCACCCUACUUGGAAGUAAUUAUUACAUCAAGUUCAUUUCCCACUGAAGCAGUCCCCUUACCUCUCCUUUUCUUCUUCAAUUAUUGUAAUCUGGUUUCUACUGACACAAAUUGCUAUGGGUUGAAUGUGUUCUCCAAAGUUCAUGUGUUGUAAACUUAAUCCCCAAUGCAAAAGUGUUGAGAGGUGGGACUUUUAAGAGGUAAUUAGGUCAUGAGAGCUCAGUCCUCAUGAAUGGAUUAAUGCCAUUAUUGUGGAAAUGGAUUUCUGAUAAAAGGAUAAGUUCAGCCCUCUUCCCAUCUCUCUCUCACAUGCUUUAUUGCCCUUCUGCCUUCCAUGAUGGGAUGAUGCAUCAAGAAGGCCCCCUUCAGAUAUAGGCCCUUCAAUCUUGGACUCCCCAGCCUCCAGAACUGUAAGAAAUAAAUUUCUGUUCUUUAUAAAUUAUCCAAUCUCAGAUAUUCUGUUAUAGCAGUACAAAAUGAACUAAGACAGCAUUCUACCAAAAAUGUUUUCACUGGGAGCACCAGUUACUUCCAUAUUGUCAAAACAAAUGGACACUUAUUUGAUUUCACUGAAGCAAUUAACACUUUUGUCACAUUUUCUUUCUUGAGAUUCUUUUCUCUUAGGUUCUACGACAUCUCUUGCAUUACCUAGAUGCUUUCUGGAUUUAAUGUGGACCAGUUGGAUACCAAGCAUCUGUAAUUCAAAAAGUUCAAAUAAGGGUUAUAGGCCUUAAAGGGGAGGUAAAUAGAGAGAUCAGAAUAGAAAGUUUAUUCAAAGGAAUAAUAACAGAGAACUUCCCAAACCUAGAGAAGAUAUCAAUAUUCAAGUACAAGAAAGUUAUAGAACACCAAGCAGAUUUAAUCCAAAUAAGACUACCUCAUGACAUUUAAUAAUCAGACUUCCAAAGGUCAAGGACAAAGAAAGGAUCCUAAAAGCAGCAAGAGAAAGAAACAAAUAACAUACAAUGGAGCUCCAAUACAUCUGGCAGCAGACUUCUCAGUGGAAACCUUACAGGCCAAGAAGGAGUGGUGUGACAUAUUUAAAGUGCUAAAGAAAAAAACCUUUUAUCCUAAAAUGGUAUGUCCAACAAAAAUAUACCUUAAACAUGAAGGGGAAAUAAAGACUCCUCCACUGUACCCCAGACAAAAAAAAAAGAGGCCAAGGGAUUUCAUCAAUGCUAGACCUGUCUUACAAGGAAUGCUAAAGGGAGUUUUUCAAUCUGAAAGAAAGGGACGUUAAUGAGCAAUAGGAAAUCAUCUGAAGGUUCAAAACUCACUGGUAAUAGUAAGAACACAGAAAACAACAGAAUAUUAUAACACUGUAAUUGUGGUGUGUAAACUAGUCAUAUCUUGAGUAGAAAGACUAAAAGAUGAGCCUAUCAAAAAUAGCCACAACAACUUUUCAAGACAUAGUACAAUAAGACAUAAAUAGAAACAACAAAAAGUUAAAAAGUAGGGGAUGGAGUUAAAGUGUAGAGUUUUUAUUAGUUUUCUCUUUGCUUAUUAGUUUGUUUAUGCAAUCACUAUUAUCAGCUUAAAAUAAUCAGUUAUAAGACUAGUUAUAUAUGCAGGCCUCAUGGUAACCUCAAAUAAAAAAACACACACAAAAAAUGAAAAGCAGAAAAUUAAAACAUACCACCAGAGAAAAUCACCUUUACUAAAAGAAAGACAGGAAGAAAGGAAAAAAGGAAGAGAAGACUAUGAAAUAACCAGAAGACAAACAACAAAAUGGCAGAAAUUCAUUCUUAACAUGGAAUGUAAAUGGACUAAAUUCUCCAAUCAAAAGAUACCGAGUGGCUGAAUAUUAAUAGAUCUUAAAAAACAAAACCCAAUGAUCUGUUGCUUACAAGGAACACACUUCAUAUAUAAAGUCGCACAUGGACUGAAAAUGAAGAGAUGGAAAAAGAUACUUUAUGCAAAUGGAAACCAGAAAAGAGCAGAGAUAAAAAAAGAGAUAUUACAACUAAUAUUGCAGAAAUUCAAAGGAUCAUUAGAGGUUACUAUGAGAAACUCUCUGCCAAUAAAUUGGAAAACCUAGAAGAAAUGGAUAAAUUCCUAGACACAUAAAACCUACUGAGAUUGAACCACGAAGAAAUCCAACAGCUGAACAGACCAAUAACAAGUGAUGAGAUCAAAGCCAUAAUAAAAAGUCUCCCAGUAAAGAAAAGCCUAGGACCUAAUGGCUUCACUCGUGAAUUUUACCAAACAUUUAAAGAACUAAUACCAGUCCUACUCAAACUAUUCUGAAAAAUAGGGGAGGAAAUAUCUCCAAACUCAUUCUACAAGGCCAUUAUUACCCUGACAGCAAAACUAGACAAAGAUACAUCAAAUAAAGAAAACCACAGGCCAAUAUCCCUGAUGAAUCUUGAUGCAGAAAUCCUCAAAAUAAUAUUAACAAACCAAAUUCAACAACACAUUGAAACUUCAUUCAUCAUGACCAAGUGGAAUUUAUCCCAGAGAUGCAAGGAUGGUUCAAAACAUGCAGAUCAAUCAAUAUGAUGCAUCAUAUCAACAGAAUAAAAACAAAAACCAUACGAUCCUUUCAACUGAUGCAGAAAGGCAUUUGACAAAAUUCAACAUCCCUUCAUGAUAAAACCCUAAAAAAAACUGGGUAUAGAAGUAACAUACCUCAAGAUAAUAAAAGCCAUAUAUGACAGGCCCACAGCUAGUGUCAUAGGCAAUGAGGAAAAACUGAAAGCCUUUACUCUAAGAUCUGAAACAAGACAAGGAUGCCCACUUUCACCACUGUUAUUCUACAUAGUACUGGAAGUCCUAGCUAGAAAAAUCAGAUAAAACACAGAAAUAAAGGGGAUCCAAAUUGGAAAGGAAGAGUUAAAUUAUCCUUGUUGGCAGAUAAUAGAAUCCUAUAUUUGGAAAAACCUAAAGACUCUACCAAAAAACUAUUAGAACUGAUGAACAGCCAGACACAGUGGCUCCCACCUGUAAUCCCAGCACUUUGGGAGGCCAAGGCAGGUGGAUCACCUAAGGUCAGGGGUUUGAGACCAGCCUGGCCAACAUGGUGAAACCCUGUCUCUACUAAAAAUACAAAAAUUAGCUGGCUGUGGUGGUGUGUGCCUGUAAUCCCGCCUACUUGGGAGGCUGAGGCAGGAGAAUUGCUUGAACCUGGGAGGUGGAGGCUGCAGUGAGCUGAGAUCGUGCUACUGCACUCUAGCCUAGACGACAGAGUAAGACUCUGUCUCAAAAACAAAAAAAAGAAAAAAGAACUGAUGAACAAAUUCAGUGAAGUUGCAGGAUACAAAAUCAACAUACAAAAAUCAGUAGCAUUUCUAUAUGUCAAUAUUGAACAAUCUGAAAAAGAAAUUAAGAAAGUAAUCCCAUUUAUAUCAGCUAAAAAUAAAAUAAAAUAUCUAGGAAUGAACUUAACCAAAGAAGUGAAAUGGGCAUGGUGGCUCAUCCCUAUAAUCCCAGCAAUUUGAGAGAACAAGGUGGGAGGAUCACUUGAGCCCAGGAGUUCAAGACCAGCCUGGAUAACAUAGCAAGACCUCAUCUCUACUAAAAGUAAAAAAGUUAGCUGGGUGUGGUGGUGCAUGCUUGUAGUCCCAGAUACUCAGGAGGCCGAGUUAGAAGGAUCACUUGAGCAAAGUAGUUUCAGAUUGCAGUGAGCUAUGAUAAUACUACUGCACUCCAUACUUCAGCCUGGGCAACAGAGAGAGACCACCUUGUCUCAAAAAAAAAAAAAAAAAAAAAAAGGAAGAAGAAGUGAAAGAGCUCUACGAUGAAAACUAUCAAGCAAUGAUGCAAGAAGUUGAAGACACACAAAAAAAUGGAAAGAUAUUUCAUGUUCUCGGAUUGGAAGAAUCAAUAUUGUUAAAAAUGUGCAUACUACCCAAAGCAAUCUACAGAUUCAAUGUAAUCUCUAUUAAAAUACCAAUGACGUUGUUCUCCAAAAUAGAAAAAAAAUCCUAAAAUUUACGUGAAACCACAAAAGUACCAGAGUAGCCAAAGCUAUCCUGAGCAAAAAGAAUAAAACUUGAGGAAUCACAUUACCUGACUUCAAAUUGUACUACAGAGCUAUAGUAAUCAAAACAGCACAGUAAUGGCAUGACAGACACAUAGACCAUGGAAAAGAAUAGAGAAUCCAGGCCAGGCACAGUGGCUCACACCUGUAAUCCCAGCACUUUGGGAGGCCGAGGCAGGCAGACCACGAGGUUAGGGAUUCGAGACCAGCCUGACCAACAUGGUGAAAUCCCGUCUCUACUAAAAAAAAAAAAAUACAAAAAUUAGCUGGGCGUGGUGGUGCACGCCUGUAAUCCCAGCUACUCAGGAGGCUGAGGCAGGAGAAUCGCUUGAACCUGGGAGGCAGAGGUUGCAGUGAGCCAAGAUUGCGCCAUUGCACUCCAGCCUGGCCUGGGCGACAGAGUGAGACUCCAUCUCAAAAAAAAAAAAAAAAAGAAUAGAGAAUCCAGAAAUAAAUCCAUGCAUCUAUAGUGAACUCGUUUUUGACAAAAGUGCCAGGAACACACAUUGGGAAAAGGACUGUCUCUUCAAUACAUGGUCCUGGGAAAACUGGAUAUCCAUAUGCAGAAGAAUGAAACUAGACUCUUAUCUCUCACCGUAUACAAAAAUCAAAUCAAGAUGGAGUAAACACUUAAAUUUAAGACCUCAAAUUAUGAAAACACUUUAAGAAAACAUUGAGGAAACUCUACAGGACAUUGGUCUGGGCAAAGAUUUCUUGAGUAAUGCUCCACAAGCACAGGCAACCAAAGCAAAAAUACACAAAUGGGAUCACUUCAAGUUCAAAAGCUUCUGCACAGCAAAGGAAACAACAAAGUGAAGAGACAACCCACAGAAUGGGAGAACGUAUUUGCAAGCUAUCCAUUUAACAAGGGAUUAAUAUCCAGAAUAUAUAAGGAGCUCACACAACUCAAUAGGAAAAAAAUCUAAUUAUUCAAUUUAAAAAUGGACAAAAUAUCUGAAUAGACAUUUCUUUAAAGAAUAUAUACAAGCCAGGUGCAGUGGCUCAUGCCUGUAAUCCCAGCACUUUGGGAGGCCGAGGUGAGGGGAUCACUUGAGGUCAGGAGUUUGAGACUGGCCUGAUCAACAUGGUGAAGCCCCAUCUCUACUAAAAACACAAAAGUUAUCCAGGCAUGGUGGCGCAUGCCUGUAAUCCCAGCUACUCGGGAGGCUAAGGAAGGAGAAUUGCUUGAACCCAGGAGGCAGAGGUUGCAGUGAGCCGAGAUCAUGCCACUGCACUCCAGCCUGGGUGACGGAAUGAGACUCUAUCUCAGAAAAAACAAAAAAAAAAGAUAUACAAAUAAUCAACAGGUAUAUGAAAAGGUGCUCUACAUCAUUGAUCAACAGAAAUGCAAAUCAAAACAGCAAUGAGAUAUCAAUCACCCAGCUAAAAUGGCUUCUAUCCAAAAGAUAAGCAAUAAUGAAUGCUGGAGAGGAUAUGGAGAAAAAGGAAACCUUGUACACUUUUGGUAGAAAUGUGUGUUAGUACAACCACUAUGGAGAAGAGUUUGGAGGCUCCUCAAAAGACUAAACAUAGAAUUACCACAAGAUCCAGCAAUCCCACUGCUAGGUAUAUGCCCAAAAGAAAGGGAAUCAGUAUAUCCGAGAAAUGUCUGACUCCCAUGUUUAUUGCAGCACUAUUCACAAUAGCCAAGAUCUGAAAGCAACCUAACUGUCCAUCAACAGAUGAAUGGAUAAAGAAAAUGUGGUAUGUAUACAUGGUGGAGAACUAUUCAGCCAUAAAAAAGAAAAAAGAGUUCCUGUCAUUUGCAACAACAUGGAUAGAACUGGAGAUCAUUAUAUUAAGUGAAAUAAGCCAGGCACAGAAAGACAAACUUCACAUGUUCUCACUCAUUUGUGGGAGAUAAAAAUUAAAACAAUUGAACUCAUGGAGAUAGAAGAAGGAUGGUUACCAGAGGCUAGGAAGGGUAGUCGGAGGCAGGGGAAAGUGGGGAUGGUUAACGGGUACAAAAAUAAAGUUAGAGAGAAUGAAUAAGAUCUAGUAUUUGGUAGCGUAACAGGGUGACUACAGUCAAUGAUAAUUUAUUGUACAUCUUUAAGUAGUUGAAAGAGUAUAGUUGGAAUGUUUGUAACACAAAGAAAUGCUAAAUGCUUGAGGUAAUGGAAACCCCAUUUACAUGGAUGUGAUUAUUAUGCAUUGCAUGCCUGUAUCAAAAUAUCUCAUAUAUGCCAUAAAUAUAUUUGCCUACUGUGGACCCACAAAAAUGAAAAAUUAAAAUUGAAAAAAAAAAUGUUUAAAACUGAACUCGUCAUUUUCUCCCCCAAAACUUUGUCCUGAACUCUCUAUCUC